GAAAUAAAAUAUUAAGAAUAAGCUUCUAACUUAAUUCUUUAGCGGUGAAACCCCGUUAAUAUUUCU
This 66-nucleotide transfer RNA is filed under the name Chelonarium sp. BMNH 840450. RNAcentral's name for it is "tRNA-Ser". Lineage: Eukaryota; Metazoa; Arthropoda; Insecta; Coleoptera; Chelonariidae. The record is from RNAcentral.